This 623-nucleotide long non-coding RNA is filed under the name Phaseolus vulgaris (common bean). RNAcentral's name for it is "long non-coding RNA (PVUL_LNC000719)". The record is from RNAcentral. Lineage: Eukaryota; Viridiplantae; Streptophyta; Magnoliopsida; Fabales; Fabaceae.
AAUGAAAGACAAUCAAGAAAAAUAAGGAACUCAAUGAAUAAAGAAGGCACACAAAAAGAGUCCUAAAGAAAAGUGCUAGAGUAGAUUAAAGAAAACAGAAAACAGCUACUGGAAAUGUAUUGUUUUUUUUUUUAAAGCAAACUGUGCUAUGUUUACAGAUUUAACUGUACCGAUUGAAAGCGAACUGGACUGUGAAAAAUUAACCACAGAAACUUCAAUGUCUUAACUCAAAAAUGGCACUGGAAUGAGGUAAAAACAGUAAGCCAAUUGAGAGAAAUAAUUUUUUCAAAAUUGCUGCCCAAUUACCGUAUUCUUUUCGGCAGUAUUGUACACUUUUCGUAUUUUAUUUAUCAUUUUUUGUGUACUUGGAAUUUUUGAGUGAUUCUUUUUUCUAUGCUUUUGUAACACUUUGAAGUAUGUAAAUCCAAAUUUUCACAAAUUUUCAGUGAGCCAAUUAAUUGCAGUAAAUUGAAAACAGUAGCACGUUUGUAAGAAAACAGAGUAUCCUAUUCAGAAAAGAAAAACAGUAAGAUGAACUAGCAAAGACAUAAUGGAAUUUGUGUAAAAGAACUUGUAUAGAAUGAAGAUACAAGCAUGAACUCAAAUCUAAAAAUGAAAAUGCA